GGAUUACCAGAAGAGAAGGCUGGCUUUCAAAGAAGCAGAGGAACGAGAGACCAAAUUGUCAGUAUUCAAUGACUGUGAAGAAAGCAAGGGAGUUCUACAAAAACACCUACUUCUGUGUCACUACACCAAAUCCUUUGACUGUAAGGCUCCUAACAAAAUGUGGCAAGUCCUCAAAGAGAUGGGAAUACCAGAUUAUCAUGUCUCUAAGCAACCUGUAUUUGGGCCAAGAGGCAACAAUUAGAAACAAACAUGAAACACCCUACUGGUUUAAGAUUGGAAAAGAAUCCAAUAAGGAUGUAUAUUGUCACCUUAUUUAUUUAACUUUUAUGCAAAAAAAAAAAAAAAGUCAGGGUGGAUGAAUCAAAAAACCAGAAUUAAGGUUGCCAGAAGAAAUAUCAACAAUCUAAAAUAUGCAGGGGAAAAAAGCUGGCUUGAAGCUAAUAUAAAAAAUCCUAAGAUCUUGGCAACUGGUCCUAUUAGUUCCUGGCAAGGGAGAAGAAACGGAAACAGUGGCAGAUUUUAUAUUUUUCAGCUCAAAGAUCACUUCAGAGAGAGAUAACAGCCAUAAAAUUAAAAGACACCUGCUCCUUGGAAGGAAAGCUAUGGCAGAUCCAGAGAGCAUACUAAAAAGCAGAGACAUAAUCAGCUUGCCCAUAAAAGUCCAUAUAGUCAAAGCUAUGGAUUUUCCAGUAGCAAUAUAGAACUGUGGUAUUUGGGCUACAAGGUAAGCUAUGGUCUAUGGGGUCAGGAAGUUGGAUAGGACUGAAUAACUAAGCAGAAAAAAAUACAUUAUAAUAAGAAUAAACUAAUAAAAUUGUUUCUGGCAAGCCUGUGCCUAAACUUUAGAGUACAGUCUAAUUUCUCUUCCACAAAAUUUAACGAGGCAUAAAGCCCCUGCUUGAAAAUUUCCAUCAAUGGGGAAAAUUUGCUACUACAUGUCACAGGUCAGCUCACUUUUUUUGAUGCUUGUAAUUAUCACGAAGUUUUUCCUUUAAAAGUUUUUAUCUGCUUCUUUGCAAUUUUUACCAAUGGUUCCUGUCUCUGCUCUUUGAAGCAAAGCAAAACAGAAAUGAUUCUAAAUCCAAGUCCUUCAAAUACUUGAAGACAGUGAUUAUAUCUCUCCAAAUCUUCCUGCAAUUAGGCUAAGUAAUUCCCAGUACCUUCAACCAGCUCAUGGUCAUGAAUUCUCUUACCAUUCUGAUCAAAACUGUUUAUCACUAUCCUUCCUAAAAUAUGGUGUCCACAUUUGAACACAUGACUACUCCAGAUGGGGUCUGACCCAUACAGUAUGAUUAUCAUCUCCUGUGAGUUGGACACAAUUUCACUUAAUGAAACUUAAGAUAUUACUUGCCUUUUACAGAGAAAGUCCAAAGGAGCGGGGAAGAAAAACUAUCUACUUAAUAGUUUUGAAUCUUUCCUAAGUUUGAAAAUGACACCUUUCAGAAAUCAUGACAAUCAUCAGGGAUGAUGACCGGCUUCAUACUUGUUUGAUUAAUGGGGUGGGGAUGGGGGGGGUCUAGAAAAUAG
RNAcentral lists this long non-coding RNA (1527 nucleotides) under Sarcophilus harrisii (Tasmanian devil). RNAcentral's name for it is "lncRNA (ENSSHAG00000030641.1)". The record is from RNAcentral. Lineage: Eukaryota; Metazoa; Chordata; Mammalia; Dasyuromorphia; Dasyuridae.